This 405-nucleotide ribosomal RNA is filed under the name uncultured bacterium. RNAcentral describes it as "partial 16S ribosomal RNA". It matches the Rfam family "Bacterial small subunit ribosomal RNA", at positions 28 to 526 of the family's 1533-position model. The record is from RNAcentral.
GAUGAACGCUGGCGGCGUGCCUAAUACAUGCAAGUCGAGCGAAGCGGGGACGGGUGAGUAACACGUGGAUAACCUCCUAUAAGACUGGGAUAACUUCGGGAAACCGGAUCUAAACCGGAUCCUUAUAGAUGUCUCCGCGCUGCAUUUGCUAGUUGGUAAGGUAAAGGCUUACCAAGGCAACGAUGAAUAGCCGACCUGAGAGGGUGAUCGGCCACACUGGAACUGAGACACGGUCCAGACUCCUACGGGAGGCAGCAGUAGGGAAUCUUCCGCAAUGGGCGAAAGCCUGACGGAGCAAUGCCGCGUGAGUGAAGAAGGUCGUCGGAUUGUAAAACUCUGUUAGUAGGGAAGCGGUAUCUAACCAGAAAGCCACGGCUAACUACGUGCCAGCAGCCGCGGUAAUUC